Orcinus orca (killer whale) is the source of this 2041-nucleotide long non-coding RNA. RefSeq lists it as uncharacterized. Lineage: Eukaryota; Metazoa; Chordata; Mammalia; Artiodactyla; Delphinidae. The transcript has 2 exons. The record is from RefSeq and is a predicted model, not a curated record.
GGGAUUAGCAGAUACAAACUAUCAUAUAUAGAAUGGAUAAACAACAAGGUCCCACUGUACAACACAGGGAACUAUAGUCAACAUCCUGUAAUAAAACCAUAAAGGCAAAGAAAAAUACAUAAAUAAAAUGGUCUCUUCUCAAUGUACACUAGUAUCGGACCAUUUAUGCAUUCUCUUUUUUUGCUUCUUACAGGCUAUCCAGAUCCUGAAUGGAGCAAUAAUUCUGUCUCUGGGUGUUUUUAUGGGUUCCUUACAAAACCUGCCCCAUCCAUCCAAUUACAUAUUUUUCUUGAUCGUUUAUACAGGCUAUCAGAUAUGGAGCGCUAUAUCUUUUAUUGUUUCAGGAACCUUAUCUGUCGUAGUUGGGAAAAAAACCCAUAAAAACACUGGUAAGUGGAAGUUCUUCUUUUUCUAUGGUCACAGGAGUAGAAAUAAGUCAUCCAUUAACAGUAAGAGAGUUGAGGUUGGUGAAUCCAGCUGAGACCCUGAGUGUCAUUUAAUGUGCAAGAAAAUUAAUUUUCUUUUCCUAAGGCAUUCAGGUGGUAGAUCUUCAGAAAGUCAUAUAGAUUGUGAAUAUGAUUACUGGGAUGAUUACUACGAUUAUCUGGUGAAUCUGAAGCUUAGAAAAAGGCUUUUUGAUAUUUGUGUGUUCUUAAAGUUAACUAAUUCUAAUUAUUUUGAGGGGGCACUCUCCUGCCAUUAGUUUCACAGCUGAAAGCUAAGUAGUCUAUAUUUUUAGUGCUCAUUAAACACUUAGUAAGUCUCUAUUACGUGUUCCCACUCAACCACCUGCCCAUUUAUACUACUUUUCUAGCUCAUUCACAUUUCUACUCUAUCCUCAAAUGCCAAUGCCUUUUUUCUCAUCUCUACUCUCUGUUGAUUCCCUUGCUUCCUAUUCCGAGAAACUCAAGCCAUUGGAGGAGAUAUUUCAGACCCCCACUAUAACUACUUCAUGGGCCAGAUCUGUACCGAUAUAUUUUUUUCAUUCUAACCUCUUACCGUAGGUGAUUCCUCUAUGAUUUUCUUCAAACCCCCACCCCUUCUGGAAUACUAGAUUCUGUUUCUUUUUCUCCAUGCAAGUGCAUCACUCCAAUUCUCUUCCUACUAGAUCUUUUUAAUCAGCCCAUAAGCAUCCAAUAACUGCUAAGAAAAAAAAAAAUCUUGACCUUAUUUUCUGCUGCAAGCUACAGUCACAAUUCAUUUUCCCUCCUGUAGCUAAACUCCUUAAAGGAAUGCUCUACACUCUAUCUCCAAUUCCUAUCUACCCAGUUUCAACUAAACCCACUGCAAUAAGGCUUCAUUUUCUUCCCCAUCACACUUCUGUAACUGCUCCCUUUAAGAUCACUGAACACUUCCACGUUGGUAACACAGAGCUCAAUUCUCAGUCUUCAUCUAAUUGACCCAUUAGCAGCACUGGUCUCUCGCUCCUCCUUCCAAUAAUUUCUUCACUUGGAUUCCAGGAAAACUUGAUUAGCCGCUUUUCCUCCUGUCUUCUUCUUUCCUCCUUCUCAAUCUCCUUUCCUAGAUCCUUUUCUUUUCUUUUUUUUUUUUGCGGUACGUGAGCCUCUCACUGUUGUGGCCUCUCCCGCUGCGGAGCACAGGCUCCGGACGCACAGGCUCAGGGGCCAUGGCUCACGGGCCCAGCCGCUCCGCGGCAUGUGGGAUCUUCCCGGACCGGGGCACGAACCCGUGUCCCCUGCAUCGGCAGGCGGACUCUCAACCACUGCGCCACCAGGGAAGCCCUAAAACUCCAAUUUUUAAAAUGAUUAUUUUAUAGGUUGCAAUGUGCUUCUACUUAUCUUUCCUUCAUUGAGUCUUACCAAAGUCCUUCUGUCAAGCCCAGGUUUUAUCUUGGGUAGGCUGCGGACAGGGAAGCAGUAUAGUGUGGUUUAGAAUAGUUGGAAUCCUGAAAUCAAUAUUUUGACAUUGCUUAGGGAGGGGAUAUUUUAGAAAUAUCUCAGAAAGAAAAAAAAAUACAUUACUCAUAAUCUGAUUGUGACAAAAAUGUAAGAGCUAAAAAAAUACAGAGGAAAAAAUAAAA